CGGUAAUUCCAGCUCCAAUAGCGUAUACUAAAGUUGUUGCAGUUAAAAAGCUCGUAGUUGGAUUUCUGCGGGGACGGAGCGGCCGGACGCAACUUGCGUCUCGAGCUAGCGCUUUCCCCGCAUCCUGCCGCGAACCGUGCUACCAUUAGUUUGGUGGCGCUGGGGAUCGGCUCGAUUACUUUGAGAAAAAUAGAGUGUUCAAAGCAGGCCACACGCCUUGAAUAAGUUAGCAUGGAAUAAUGACUAAGGACUUUGGUUCUUUUCGUUGGUGUUCGGGACUGAAGUAAUGAUUGAUAGGGACAGUUGGGGCGGUCUGUAUUCCAAAGCGAGAGGUGAAAUUCUUAGACCUUCGGAAGACAAACAGCUGCGAAAGCGUUCCGCAAGGAUGUUCCCUUUGAUCAAGAACGAAAGUUGGGGGAUCGAAGACGAUCAGAUACCGUCGUAGUCUCAACUAUAAACUAUACCAGCUAGGGAUCGGCCAACGUUUAAUUAUUCGACUUGGUCGGCACCUUAUGAGAAAUCAAAGCAUCUGGGUUCCGGGGGGAGUAUGGUCGCAAGGCUGAAACUUAAAGGAAUUGACGGAAGGGCACCACCAGGCGUGGAGCCUGUGGCUUAAUUUGACUCAACACGGGAAAACUUACCAGGUCCAGACAUAGGAAGGAUUGACAGAUUGAUAGCUCUUUCUUGAUUCUGUGGGUGGUGGUGCAUGGCCGUUUUUAGUCGGUGAAGUGAUUUGUCUGCUUAAUUGCGUUAACGGACGAGACCCCAGCCUGCUAAAUAGCGCGGCCGAGCUUUGCUCGGUGCGAGCUUCUUAGAGGGACCAUGAUGCGCGAUAGCACAAGGAAGUUUGGGGCAACAACAGGUCUGUGAUGCCCUUAGAUGCUCUGGGCCGCACACGGGCUACACUGGCGCCUGCAACGAGCAUAUCAGCUGGCCCGAGAGGGUCUUGGCUAAUCUUUGGAACCGGCGCCGUGCUUGGGAUUGACCAUUGCAAUUGUUGGUCAUGCAACGAGGAAUGCCUUGUAAACGCGAGUCAUCAGCUCGCAUUGAAUACGUCCCUGCCCUUUGUACACACCGCCCGUCGCUCCUACCGAUGAAUGUUCCGAUGAAAUUUUCGGAGAGCACCAGAGAACGGGGCUCCGCCUUGCAGAACUGGAGGCUCAAAGUCACUUAAAUCUGAACAUUUCGAGGAAGGAGAAGUCGUAACAAGGUAACC
This 1216-nucleotide ribosomal RNA is filed under the name uncultured Rhizaria. RNAcentral's name for it is "SSU rRNA". It matches the Rfam family "Eukaryotic small subunit ribosomal RNA", at positions 577 to 1804 of the family's 1831-position model. The record is from RNAcentral.